AGAGUUUGAUCAUGGCUCAGAUUGAACGCUGGCGGCAGGCCUAACACAUGCAAGUCGAACGGUAACAGGAAGCAGCUUGCUGCUUUGCUGACGAGUGGCGGACGGGUGAGUAAUGUCUGGGAAACUGCCUGAUGGAGGGGGAUAACUACUGGAAACGGUGGCUAAUACCGCAUAACGUCGCAAGACCAAAGAGGGGGACCUUCGGGCCUCUUGCCAUCAGAUGUGCCCAGAUGGGAUUAGCUUGUUGGUGAGGUAACGGCUCACCAAGGCGACGAUCCCUAGCUGGUCUGAGAGGAUGACCAGCCACACUGGAACUGAGACACGGUCCAGACUCCUACGGGAGGCAGCAGUGGGGAAUAUUGCACAAUGGGCGCAAGCCUGAUGCAGCCAUGCCGCGUGUAUGAAGAAGGCCUUCGGGUUGUAAAGUACUUUCAGCGGGGAGGAAGGUGUUGUGGUUAAUAACCGCAGCAAUUGACGUUACCCGCAGAAGAAGCACCGGCUAACUCCGUGCCAGCAGCCGCGGUAAUACGGAGGGUGCAAGCGUUAAUCGGAAUUACUGGGCGUAAAGCGCACGCAGGCGGUCUGUCAAGUCGGAUGUGAAAUCCCCGGGCUCAACCUGGGAACUGCAUUCGAAACUGGCAGGCUUGAGUCUUGUAGAGGGGGGUAGAAUUCCAGGUGUAGCGGUGAAAUGCGUAGAGAUCUGGAGGAAUACCGGUGGCGAAGGCGGCCCCCUGGACAAAGACUGACGCUCAGGUGCGAAAGCGUGGGGAGCAAACAGGAUUAGAUACCCUGGUAGUCCACGCCGUAAACGAUGUCUACUUGGAGGUUGUGCCCUUGAGGCGUGGCUUCCGGAGCUAACGCGUUAAGUAGACCGCCUGGGGAGUACGGCCGCAAGGUUAAAACUCAAAUGAAUUGACGGGGGCCCGCACAAGCGGUGGAGCAUGUGGUUUAAUUCGAUGCAACGCGAAGAACCUUACCUGGUCUUGACAUCCACAGAACUUUCCAGAGAUGGACUGGUGCCUUCGGGAACUGUGAGACAGGUGCUGCAUGGCUGUCGUCAGCUCGUGUUGUGAAAUGUUGGGUUAAGUCCCGCAACGAGCGCAACCCUUAUCCUUUGUUGCCAGCG
This 1126-nucleotide ribosomal RNA is filed under the name Salmonella enterica. Its description in RNAcentral is "bacterial SSU rRNA". It matches the Rfam family "Bacterial small subunit ribosomal RNA", at positions 8 to 1123 of the family's 1533-position model. The record is from RNAcentral. Lineage: Bacteria; Pseudomonadati; Pseudomonadota; Gammaproteobacteria; Enterobacterales; Enterobacteriaceae. RNAcentral also lists the same sequence under 5 other names.